GACGAACCGUGCGAACGUUGUUCGGAAUCACUGGGCUUAAAGGGCGCGUAGGCGGGUCAGCAAGUCCGGGGUGAAAUCUUUCGGCUCAACCGGAAAAGUGCCUUGGAUACUGCUGGUCUGGAGUGAGGUAGGGGCCGCGGGAACUUCCGGUGGAGCGGUGAAAUGCGUUGAUAUCGGAAGGAACGCCGGUGGCGAAAGCGCGCGGCUGGCCCUCAACUGACGCUGAGGCGCGAAAGCCAGGGGAGCAAACGGG
Molecule: ribosomal RNA, 253 nt
Filed under: uncultured bacterium
Lineage: Bacteria
Description: partial 16S ribosomal RNA
Rfam family: Bacterial small subunit ribosomal RNA
Source: RNAcentral